GAACGCUAGCGGCAGGCCUAACACAUGCAAGUCGAGGGGUAACAUUUGUGCUUGCACAAGAUGACGACCGGCGCACGGGUGCGCACCGCGUAUGGAACCUACCUUGUACAGGGGAAUAGCCCAGGGAAACUUGGAUUAAUGCCCCGUAGUACCGUGACCCGGCAUCGGGAUACGGUUAAAGCCUUCGGGCGGUAUAAGAUGGCCAUGCGUCCCAUUAGCUUGUUGGUAAGGUAACGGCUUACCAAGGCUACGAUGGGUAGGGGCCCUGAGAGGGGGAUCCCCCACACUGGUACUGAGACACGGACCAGACUCCUACGGGAGGCAGCAGUGAGGAAUAUUGGACAAUGGAGGAGACUCUGAUCCAGCCAUGCCGCGUGCAGGAAGAAUGCCCUAUGGGUAGUAAACUGCUUUUAUACGGGAAGAAAAAAGAGUACGUGUACUCUACUGACGGUACCGUAAGAAUAAGGACCGGCUAACUCCGUGCCAGCAGCCGCGGUAAUACGGAGGGUCCGAGCGUUAUCCGGAAUUAUUGGGUUUAAAGGGUCCGUAGGCGGGCCGAUAAGUCAGGGGUGAAAGUUUGCAGCUCAACUGUAAAAUUGCCUUUGAUACUGUUGGUCUUGAGUUAUAGUGAAGUUGCCGGAAUAUGUAAUGUAGCGGUGAAAUGCAUAGAUAUUACAUAGAACACCGAUUGCGAAGGCAGGUGACUAACUAUAUACUGACGCUGAUGGACGAAAGCGUGGGGAGCGAACAGGAUUAGAUACCCUGGUAGUCCACGCCGUAAACGAUGGAUACUAGCUGUCCGAGGCCUUGAGUCUUGGCGGCCAAGCGAAAGUGAUAAGUAUCCCACCUGGGGAGUACGUUCGCAAGAAUGAAACUCAAAGGAAUUGACGGGGGCCCGCACAAGCGGUGGAGCAUGUGGUUUAAUUCGAUGAUACGCGAGGAACCUUACCAGGGCUUAAAUGCAUAUUGACAGGUCUAGAGAUAGAUUUUCCUUCGGGCAAUUUGCAAGGUGCUGCAUGGUUGUCGUCAGCUCGUGCCGUGAGGUGUCAGGUUAAGUCCUAUAACGAGCGCAACCCCUACCGUUAGUUGCCAGCAUGUCAUGAUGGGGACUCUAACGGGACUGCCGGUGCAAACCGUGAGGAAGGUGGGGAUGACGUCAAAUCAUCACGGCCCUUACGUCCUGGGCCACACACGUGCUACAAUGGUAGGUACAGAGAGCAGCCACGUCGCAAGGCGGAGCGAAUCUAUAAAACCUAUCACAGUUCGGAUCGGGGUCUGCAACUCGACCCCGUGAAGCUGGAAUCGCUAGUAAUCGGAUAUCAGCCAUGAUCCGGUGAAUACGUUCCCGGGCCUUGUACACACCGCCCGUCAAGCCAUGGAAGCCGGGAGUGCCUGAAGUCCGUCACCGUAAGGAGCGGCCUAGGGCAAGAUCGGUAACUAGGGCUAAGUCGUAACAAGGUAGCCGUACGG
RNAcentral lists this ribosomal RNA (1470 nucleotides) under Cellulophaga sp. E6. Its description in RNAcentral is "16S ribosomal RNA". It matches the Rfam family "Bacterial small subunit ribosomal RNA". Lineage: Bacteria; Pseudomonadati; Bacteroidota; Flavobacteriia; Flavobacteriales; Flavobacteriaceae. The record is from RNAcentral.